This 487-nucleotide ribosomal RNA is filed under the name uncultured bacterium. RNAcentral's name for it is "bacterial SSU rRNA". It matches the Rfam family "Bacterial small subunit ribosomal RNA", at positions 33 to 507 of the family's 1533-position model. The record is from RNAcentral.
GACGACGCUGGCGGCGUGGAUUAGGCAUGCAAGUCGAACGGUAUCAUCCUUUCGGGGGUGAGAGAGUGGCGAACUGGUGAGUAACACGUUAGGUUAUCUACCCUCAAGACGGGGACAACCCAGGGAAACUUGGGCUAAUACCGGAUGUGAGCAACUUUUAGUUGUUUGAAAGGUGGCGUAAGCUGUCGCUUGGGGAUGAGCCUGCGUCCUAUUAGUUAGUUGGUGAGGUAACGGCUCACCUAGGCAAUGAUAGGUAGGCGGCCUUAACGGGUGGUCGCCCACACUGGGAUUGAGAUACGGCCCAGACUCCUACGGGAGGCAGCAGUCGAGAAUAGUCUACAAUGGUCGGAAGACUGAUAGUGCGACGCCGCGUGAACGAUGAAUCCCUUCGGGGUGUAAAGUUCUUUUAUAUGUGAGCAGUGCUUCUUAUAUUAACAGUAUGGGGAGAGAGAUAUUAGCAUAUGAAUAAGCAACGGCUAACUCCGUG